CCUACGGGAGGCAGCAGUAAGGAAUAUUGGACAAUGGGCGCAAGCCUGAUCCAGCCAUGGCCGCGUGAAGGAUUAAGGUCCUCUGGAUUGUAAACUUCUUUUAUAAGGGACGAAAAAAGGGAAUUCUUUCUCACUUGACGGUACCUUAUGAAUAAGCACCGGCUAACUCCGUGCCAGCAGCCGCGGUAAU
This 190-nucleotide ribosomal RNA is filed under the name uncultured bacterium. RNAcentral describes it as "partial 16S ribosomal RNA". It matches the Rfam family "Bacterial small subunit ribosomal RNA", at positions 338 to 524 of the family's 1533-position model. The record is from RNAcentral.